Molecule: ribosomal RNA, 497 nt
Filed under: uncultured bacterium
Lineage: Bacteria
Description: partial 16S ribosomal RNA
Rfam family: Bacterial small subunit ribosomal RNA
Source: RNAcentral
GAUGAACGCUGGCGGCGUGCCUAAUACAUGCAAGUCGAGCGAACAGAUGAGGAGCUUGCUCCUCUGACGUUAGCGGCGGACGGGUGAGUAACACGUGGAUAACCUACCUAUAAGACUGGGAUAACUUCGGGAAACCGGAGCUAAUACCGGAUAAUAUAUUGUACCGCAUGGUUCAAUAGUGAAAGACGGUUUUGCUGUCACUUAUAGAUGGAUCCGCGCCGCAUUAGCUAGUUGGUAAGGUAACGGCUUACCAAGGCGACGAUGCGUAGCCGACCUGAGAGGGUGAUCGGCCACACUGGAACUGAGACACGGUCCAGACUCCUACGGGAGGCAGCAGUAGGGAAUCUUCCGCAAUGGGCGAAAGCCUGACGGAGCAACGCCGCGUGAGUGAUGAAGGUCUUCGGAUCGUAAAACUCUGUUAUUAGGGAAGAACAAAUGUGUAAGUAACUAUGCACGUCUUGACGGUACCUAAUCAGAAAGCCACGGCUAACUACGUG